UUUUUGUAAGUCUGCCACUAGCAACCACUGGCUAACAGUGAACUUGUGCAAUAAUAUUUGUUGGUUCCCAUUGCGGUUUAGGUGUGUCUGUCAUCUGCAGAAUAGAGAUAAAAAAGAGUAUAAGGAUUAUUCAAUCCAGGUAGCUUUUGGACAGCCAUUUCAAGCAACAAUUAUCUGUGUAUUAAUCUUAAGCUCUUUAACCAACAUGAAAAAAGAAACAAAAUUACUUGGAAGAUUAU
RNAcentral lists this long non-coding RNA (239 nucleotides) under Panax ginseng (ginseng). RNAcentral's name for it is "long non-coding RNA (PGIN_LNC005929)". The record is from RNAcentral. Lineage: Eukaryota; Viridiplantae; Streptophyta; Magnoliopsida; Apiales; Araliaceae.